RNAcentral lists this ribosomal RNA (888 nucleotides) under Triticum aestivum (bread wheat). RNAcentral's name for it is "partial small subunit ribosomal RNA". The record is from RNAcentral. Lineage: Eukaryota; Viridiplantae; Streptophyta; Magnoliopsida; Poales; Poaceae.
GGGUCAGAGAUUACCUUCAGAUGGAGGAUUGAUGGUUUCUCCUCGCUUCUUGAUAAGGGUGAAGGAUGGACGAACUCCAGUGUGUUUGAGAUCAGGGGGCAUUACUGGAACCUGAUGCUGAACCCAAGGGACAGAAAGAGUGGCGACGAAAAUGAAUAUGUUUCUCUUAUGCUUGUGCUGUUUCAACUAUCUGAGAGAUCCCAUACGGUCGUGGAGGCAACUUUCAAGUUCUUGUUAUAUGAUCAGUCAUAUGGAAAGCACCACGAACAGCAUCAAGUGAGCCACAGUUUUCAGUCUACAAGCAGAGUCUCUGGGAGCUCAUGCAUGAUCCCCCUCGCGAAGCUUAAGGAGCAAUCCUCUGGAUUCCUCGUCAAAGACAGCUGUGUUUUCGGUAUCCAGUUCAUCAAAGUUGUCGCUGUUAAAGGUAACGAUGUGUCAGAGACGCUGUUUGUUCAGAAGACUAGCAACAUCUGCAGUGACCCGCAAGUCUACACCUGGAACAUUGAUGAUUUCUUUGUGUUGAAGAACCCGAGCACCUCCCCAGAGUUUGAGCUCUGUGGACACAAAUGGUUCAUCACUCUCUAUCCAUCUGGUUACGAUAAGAAUGGGAACUACCUCUCCCUGUCUCUGAGCAUGAAGGUUCCGGACACACUCGAUAAGGACUCGGCAAUCCUUGCAGAAGUUAGCAUAAGCAUCAAAGACCAGGAAACGGGGAACCACGCGAAAUCAUCAGCCCGGAUCCAGUUCAAGAAUGAUACCCACACUUCGUUAUGGGACAAGUUCAUAUCGUUGGAAGAUUUCAAGGACUCAUCAAAGGGUUAUCUCGUGAAGACAAAGUGCUGCAUUGAAGCUCAGGUUGAAGUCAUUGUUUCCUCCAAGACGGUGUAG